GACGAACGCUGGCGGCGUGCUUAACACAUGCAAGUCGAACGGAAAGGCCCUGCUUUUGUGGGGUGCUCGAGUGGCGAACGGGUGAGUAACACGUGAGUAACCUGCCCUUGACUUUGGGAUAACUUCAGGAAACUGGGGCUAAUACCGGAGAGGAGCGCCUGCUGCAGGGGGGGGGUUGGAAAGUUUCGGCGGUGGGGGAUGGACUCGCGGCUUAUCAGCUGGUUGGGGGGGGAGUGGCUUACCCAGGGUUAGACGGGUAGCCGGCGUGGGAGGGCGAACAGCGACCAUGGGACUGCGGGACGGACCAGUGUCGUACGGGGGGCAGCAGGGGGGAGUAUUGCACAGCGGGCCGGAGUCUGAUACAGCAGCGUUGCGUGCGGGAUGCCGGCCUUCGGGUGGUGAACCGCAUUCGCCUGUGACGAAGCGUGAGUGACGGUAAUGAGUGAAGAAGCACCGGCUAACUACGUG
RNAcentral lists this ribosomal RNA (468 nucleotides) under uncultured bacterium. Its description in RNAcentral is "partial 16S ribosomal RNA". It matches the Rfam family "Bacterial small subunit ribosomal RNA", at positions 28 to 507 of the family's 1533-position model. The record is from RNAcentral.